CCUACGGGAGGCAGCAGUGAGGAAUAUUGGGCAAUGGGCGAGAGCCUGAACCAGCCAAGUCGCGUGAAGGAUGAAGGAUCUAUGGGUUGUAAACUGCUUUUAUAGGGGAAUAAAGUGAGGAACGUGUGCCUUGUUGUAUGUACCAUAUGAAUAAGCAUCGGCUAACUCCGUGCCAGCAGCCGCGGUAAUACGGAGGAUGCGAGCGUUAUCCGGAUUUAUUGGGUUUAAAGGGUGCGUAGGUGGUUAAUUAAGUCAGCGGUGAAAGUUUGUGGCUCAACCCUAAAAUUGCCGUUGAAACUGGUUGCCUUUAGUCUCUUUGAGGUAGGCGUCAUGCGUGGUGUAGCGG
Molecule: ribosomal RNA, 346 nt
Filed under: uncultured bacterium
Lineage: Bacteria
Description: partial 16S ribosomal RNA
Rfam family: Bacterial small subunit ribosomal RNA
Source: RNAcentral